AAUAAAUCCUGGGUUUUCGUAUCCAACGUUUGACCAUCCAUUUUAUUUAAAAAAAUUAUAAAAAUAAUUAAAAAGACAAGCCACGCAUAAAGUAUUAAUCAUGUUUUAUCAUCUAACAAAAAUAAAAAUACUAACUAUAAAAAAAUUUCAUAUAAGACAGACAAUCAAACGUUGGACACGGAAACCCAGGGUUUAUUUUUUA
This is a non-coding RNA of Oryza barthii, 202 nucleotides long. The record is from Rfam. NCBI's taxonomy places the organism in Eukaryota, Viridiplantae, Streptophyta, Magnoliopsida, Poales, Poaceae.